Long non-coding RNA from Canis lupus familiaris (dog), 4765 nucleotides. RefSeq lists it as uncharacterized. The transcript has 16 exons. Lineage: Eukaryota; Metazoa; Chordata; Mammalia; Carnivora; Canidae. The record is from RefSeq and is a predicted model, not a curated record.
CAGUUGACACCUUUGUGAUGUCAGCAGCCUCAGGAGACUGCCUGGCUGAGGGAGGGAGAGUCCUGCCUCUCUCUCCUUCUGGGUUGGUGUGGUGUGGGGGUGUGUGUUUCUCGGCUCCAAGGAGUAAAUUGUCCCCUCCUAGGUGCUAAAGGGUACAUGAACUUCAGGCCAGGUCAAACCACUGAUAUUAUGUGAUCUAUUUACACUGGGGGUUCCUCAUCUUUUAAAAGACAACGGCAAGGAAGCUAAAAGGAAAAACAACUUUCCUAACCUCACUGAACGAGUGAGUGGCACAGCCAAGCAACAGUUGACUUGUCGAUGCCUGAGGUGACUCCGGUUCCUGGGUAGCCACUAUGUAAGGAGGAGUUCCUUCCAAGACAAUCUGGAACAUGCUCUAUCCAUUGAACAGGCUGAUGGGCAUUUCAUACUUGCCAAAGCCCCAGAUGGUGCCGAACCACUCUAGUGGAAAUGUCUCUGUAAUCCAGCAUGGUGACCCUGCCCCCCGGCCUGCCCUUCAGAGCAACCUUGGACACUGAAAUUCUAAAGCAGUGUUGGCCUUUUGUGGUGUCUCAAGAGCAAUCCGUACCUCACAGAGGCUCUGGGAGGUUAGGGGGAGGACAGAAGGGAGUUGAGUCCUUCUCUCCUUCAGCAUUCCUAGUGGACAGAUUUUCAAGACAAUAUGUCAUGUGGGAGGUAGAAACUUGGAGCACAAGUGCCUAGGGCAACGUCAGAGUUCCCGCACUGGAUGCCAUGGAGAGGGGCCCUCUUGGCAUCUGGUGUGGAGAUCAGAAGGGAGACCAUUAAUCCUGAGAAAGGCUGACUCUCAGUCUGAGCCCUGCUCGACGAGACCCCGAGUAUCCGAGGGUCAGGGGCAGGAUCACUAACCUGUCAUGGGGUGUAAAUAGCCCCUGUUUCACGGAGCGUGCUAUCUACCUUCCUGGAGAGCUUGCUUCAGACAAACGGCUUUCCACUCCCCAAGCCAGAGAGGAUGAAAGGUCAGAAAAAUGCCUCUGAGAAAAUCCUGGUGCGUGCGUCCUGCUGCGUCAUCUGGCCACUCGCCUUCGCCCCUUCUCUCUCAGCCUACAGCUGCCACUCUUCUGUGCAAAAACGGGCCACGCUGGGUUCUCUCUGAGAGAGAUUCUUUUGCUGUUGCCCUAGUAACAGAAUUAUUAAACCAAGUUCCAGCCUCGGGAGUAUUUGUGCCUGGUGAGAGGAAAGAGGUUCCUGCAGUCAAAGUACACCUGGUUGUGAAGCGUGUGCCGUUGUUAUGAGAAGCAACUUGGAAAGUUCCUCCUAAACCUUGAAGGAAGCAAAGAGCUCAGAAAGCAAACCAAAAGCAGUAUUCUGUGGGGAUGUGUGUAGUUUAAAGUUCUGUUCUGAAAGUAACGUCCUACCUCAAAUGUCUGUGGCAGAAGAGGUGAUAGAAGAGGCACAAGAGAGCAAGCAGAAACAUGCAAGUCCUUGUAUACUCAUAGACCAGCUGGAGGAAGUCACAGGGAUGAGCUCAGGGUCAAGCUUAAGACAUGGGCACCAAAGAGUUCAACAUGGACCAGAGGAACUGGAAUAUUGGUUCUCCUGUUAUAAAAUCAAGGCACUUUUUAUUGUUCCACACUAUGCUUAAUGAAGAACAUGAAUUCCAGGAGUUUUGUCAGAGACUUCCUAGAGGCAAGGGGUUUUUACAAAUCUUGCCCAAGGAUUGGACAAGAGCUGGUCUAUGAGUCUGUCUUUUCCAGAGGGGAUGGAUGUGUAUGCAGGGCCUCCGCAUUAAGAGAAUGGGCACAUUCUCAGUGGCAUCGCUAGAGGACAUCAGGUACCUGCCCUCGACCCCAUACUCCUUCAGAUGUGACUACUUUCCAUCGAUCUGUGUGUGGGAGAAUCACGGGAUGUUGCUGUGUCAGAUGUUCUCAGAACACACAUGACGCCCUAGGAAAUGGAGUCUGAGGUCCUUUAGGAUGAUGCAUUGGACUAAGCAGAAAAAUUUUCUCUUGACAAUGCUGUGGUUCACACCUUUCCUGUGAGCUGAAUUGCCUAGAGUUGAAUGAGUGUCAGAUUUGCAUCCACAUCUCCCCUCAGCUCAGCUCUUCACUUCCAGAUUUUUAUCCCCAGGGUGGAUUAAAAACAGAGCUCCUUCGCGGGAAGGCGAUGGUUUCCAUCCGGAACCCUGUCCUGGCUUGCCUUGUCUUUUCUCUGUCAUCCUGAAGGGAGAAAUAUCUUGCAUAGCCUCAAGAGGAAGAAGUCUUGUAUCAGAAAGUCGCAGGACUUGCCCAACGUCUCCCUGGACAGAACAGAGGCCUUGGGAACUGGACCAAGGCAUUCUGUCUCCAUCUUGUCUCUGCUUCUGGUGUGAAGGUUCUGGACAAAUUUAAUGAUGAAUAAUGACGAAAACUCAAGAAAUGUCCCCAUGAGAUGUGCGUGUGGUUUUCCCAGUGUGGUGCAUCAGCUUGGACAGGAUACUCUCUGAGGUUCUGAUGGCUACCCAGGACAUCGGGGCCAUUGGCCUCAGACUCGGGAACCGCCCGGUCCUCUGUCUGCCGAGGACCCAUUGCUUGACCUUGGACAAGUCGCUUUCCCUGUCCGGGCAUCAUCACGUCCCUCCUCCCUGAGUGACUUGUUCAGCACCUACUGAGCCAGACGUUUUGCCAGGACCAGGUGCUACAGAGACGAGAACAUCACAAUGCCUGCCUGCAAGAAGCUCACGGCCUGCCGGGGGAGCAGGAAUGCAACCAAGUCAUUCCUGUAUGCUGAGAUACGAGAAAUAGGUGCUCAAAAGCCACACCUGGCAAGUGGUUACCACGCUGGACCGGGAAGCUACAGAACGUGUCCAUCCCUGCAGAAAGUUCUAUUUGACAGAGCUGUUCUGGACAGAAGGACAGCAUGCUGACUUCCCGGACACCAUUAGCUUUGGUCUGAAGAUGCUUUUUUGUGCCGUGGGCCUUCGAGCCUUCAGAGCUGCCUCGUGGAUAGAGAGUGGUCCACGGGGCAAGGCCUGGAAAGCUGGGUACCCAGUGAUGACAGCGUGGGCCUGGUGGAUAAGCCCUCCUCGGGGGGCUGGGCUGUGGAUGUCUAUGCUGCUCCUGGGUCCAAGCAGUCAUCAGCAAGGACACAGCAGCUGCCUCGAAUCUCAUGCUACCUUGACAUCUCCAUUGGACAUCCAGUGGGCAUCCAACCCAGAACCCCUCGCCUCCCACACCCACCUGCUCCUCUGCAGUCCUGCCCCUCUUGGUUGAUGGCACCGCUCAGGCCCAGACCCCGUGAGUUGCCUCACCUCCUCUUCUUCUCACUGCUCUAUCCCUCCACCCAACCUCUUGGCGAGUCAUGUUGGCUCUACCUUUCCCAUAUGGCAGGUGCUGACCACUUCUUACCAUCUGCACUGCUGCCCCUGGUUUUGAAACUCCAUUAUCUCUCACCUGGAUUUCUGCAGCGGCCUCCUAGGUGGUGUUCCAGCUGUCCCUCUUGCGCCCUCCCAUACCUUCCGUCCCCAAUAGAGCAGCUGGAGUGAUACUGCUAAGAGUUAGGUCAUUUCAGGCCUCUGCUUCAAAGCCUCCCAGUGCCCCCAUUUUACUCAGAGUAAAAGUUAGAUUCCUUACAAUGUCCUGUCAAACCCUCUGUGACCAUAGGACCUGGCCCCCUUCCCUCUCUGACUUCAUCUCUUCCUCUUCUCCCCCUCAUGUCCUCUGCUCCAGCUACGCUGGCCUCCUCCCUGUUCCCAAGGGCCUUUGCUCUGGCCGUCCCCUCUGCUUGGAAAGCCUUUUCUCCAGAUAGCCAUAUUCCUUCGACUCUUUGCUCGAAUGUCAUCUUCUCAACAAAGCUUAUGACAAUCUUAUUUAAAAUAGUAACCUGCGUGCCUCCCUGUCUUUCCCCCAGCGUGCUCCAUCCGCUUUACCCUGUGACACUCUUCCCUCACCUACCACAUAGCACCUCCCCUGCUUCUUCAUUUAUUGAUUGAUUUUGCUCAUUUUUGCUUCUCCGUCUCCCCUCACUAGAAUAUAGGUCAAAGGAAGGCAGGGGGCUUUGUCGGUUGUGUUUCUGGAGGUAUCCUAUGUGCCUAGAACACACCGUGGUUGGCGGUAAGUAUUUGUGCUGUUGCUCUCAUCCUUAGCCGCUCUCUGCUGCUGGGGGUGGGGUGGGGGGAAGGUCUCCUGUACCCAGGAGCCAAUCUGCAGCCUGGGGUGGCAGUCCUAGCUUCUCUUUAGGAUUGCCAGGUCAGGCUUCAGGAGUGGACUGGCCUACGGAAAUUCUCGAGCUGAAGUUGAAGGCUCAAGCCUCAGGUGAGCUGACUCCAAAUGAGUCUUCUGCUUUUCUGGGUGGAGCUGUAAGGAAGGGCCCCUGGGCAGGGUGGUGGGUUUGGGACACCCCCCACCCCCACUCCCCAUUGCAGGGUACAGUUUAGCGCCCUUGCAGGAUGUGUCCAAGGCAGCUGUCUCUUUUCAAAACUGCUCCAUCAUGCCCCCCGGUUGUAAGAGCCUCACGUGAGCAUCUCUGAUGAUUCAGGAGCUGAAUGGGAGGGGGAGGAUUUCAGGCGUCAGAGCGGAGCUCCUCAAUGGGUGGAUGUGGACUCUUGAGUGCACGCACAAAGGGAGGGGAGGGCGGGCAGGGAGUGGAGAGCUCUGGGCCCCCCGCCCCCACCCCUAAGCGGUGGAUUUUUCCUCUGUUCAGAGGGAACAGUAAAGCCUGCCUGUCUCCCUUUCAGUGUUGUGAGGAUCAAGUGAAAUAAUGUAUAUGAAAAUGUUCCAAAAAGAAUAAAGAGCUUUGCCAGAAUGAAAAA